GUCGUAGUAGUUCAAUGGUAAAACGUCGGGUUGUGAUCCUGGAAUUAUGGGUUCGAUUCCCAUCUAUGACU
RNAcentral lists this transfer RNA (71 nucleotides) under Pseudomonadota bacterium. RNAcentral's name for it is "Proteobacteria bacterium (activated sludge metagenome) tRNA-His". It matches the Rfam family "tRNA". From Rfam's summary of the family: Transfer RNA (tRNA) molecules are approximately 80 nucleotides in length. Their secondary structure includes four short double-helical elements and three loops (D, anti-codon, and T loops). Further hydrogen bonds mediate the characteristic L-shaped molecular structure. tRNAs have two regions of fundamental functional importance: the anti-codon, which is responsible for specific mRNA codon recognition, and the 3' end, to which the tRNAs corresponding amino acid is attached (by aminoacyl-tRNA synthetases). tRNAs cope with the degeneracy of the genetic code in two manners: having more than one tRNA (with a specific anti-codon) for a particular amino acid; and 'wobble' base-pairing, i.e. permitting non-standard base-pairing at the 3rd anti-codon position. Lineage: Bacteria; Pseudomonadati; Pseudomonadota. The record is from RNAcentral.